GUGACCACGGCAGGUUGGUCCUGGAGCAGAUGAGCGCAGAAUAUUUAGGCGAAAGCGCGAGGAGGGAGGGGAGCGCGGGGCAGGAGGAGUAUCUCGGCCCAGAAAAUUAUGCAUGCGUUAGGGAAGCUCUGAGAGAAUGGCUGUGGAAGCUCUCCACUGCGGUUUGAACCCACGGGGUAUUGAUCACCCUGCCCGUGCUGAAGGUAUUAAACUGCAAAUUGAAGGUGAAGGUGUUGAUUCUCACUCUAUUAAAAACAAAAAUGUCCAGAAGGUGCUUGACCAAAAAGGAACCCCCAAGCGACUGCAGGCAGAAGCUGAGACGGCUAAGUCGGCUACGGUGAAGCUAUCAAAACCAGUGGCUCUGUGGACUCAGCAGGAUGUCUGCAAGUGGUUGAAGAAACAUUGUCCGAAUCAGUAUCAGAUCUACAGUGAGUCAUUCAAACAGCAUGACAUAACUGGGCGAGCCCUGCUGAGACUUACAGACAAAAAGCUUGAGCGAAUGGGGAUUGCCCAGGAGAACCUCCGGCAGCACAUCUUACAACAGGUGCUCCAGCUGAAGGUGCGAGAAGAAGUCAGAAAUCUACAGUUACUCACACAAGGAAGGUUAUUGGCUGCUCAGUAAAGGCUGUUGCUGUGAAUGGAAGGAGACUCCACACUGAAACGGGAUGAGCAGAACAGUCCUCUCUGCAUUUCUCCAUUUGCUGGCUCAACAGAAGCAGUAAAUAAACCCUAUUCCCAGAACUAUGCUGACAACAUUGAUGAUGGCGGCACACAAAUUAGGAGCCUCAACCGAGGGUUCUCCAUAAACGCGGUUAGCCUUCCAAGCUGCUGUCCUGCCAGUCGAUAUGAACAUGGCCUGUUCCUCACAGAAAGACUAACUCAUGGCACUGCCAGAAGAUAUCCUUGGAGCAUUGACAGAUUAACCAGAUUAACUGAAAAACCACCCAUUCAGUCAAGAUUAUGGGCUUUGGGAAAUCUUAGUUUGCUGUGGAUUUUUAAAUGAGGUACAUAAUAUACAGUGCCAACUUGCUUCAAGUGGUCAUUGGCAGACCAUUAGCUGGAAAACUGCUUCCGGUUUUCAUCACUGUGCAUAACUCAAGCUCCCUUUGGGGAGCUGACUGUGCCCUUCACUAGAAGUCCCGUUUUAGCAUGGCAACUACUGGAUUAUUUUAUUAUGUGUGCAGACGGCAUGAUGCGUUAGAAAAAAAAUUAUGGCAGUUCUGCAAUCUCAGUGGAAGUGUUCACAAUAUUAUGCCCUGGUAGGAAUGUAAACAUGUCUCGAUUGUGUUAGUUAUGACAUCUAAAGGUAUUCUGUCCAACUCUUAAGCACUUUACAUGAGAACCCCCUAUACCGAAACGAAUCAGCACGUUCAGUACAUGUGAGAAAACAAGUCUUUUUUUUCUUUCUUAUAAAUCUUGUCCUAUUUCUGGCUCAGACUGUCCAAGAUGAGGCUCCACUCCUAGCAUAUACUGCGUCGUUUGUGGUAGAUUGGUAAAUAUGGCCACAGUACUGUUAGACUUAACCUCUUGACACUUUACUGAACAACUGGAUUUCUUACAGCAGCAAAGGGAGGUAAAGGUGGGCCUGGGGAAUGGUGAUCAUUUAGCUCUAGUUUCCUCUUACCUGGGCACAACUUACCACGAGCACAUACACACACUCAAACACAGGAGGCUUCUAUUUGGCCAAUGUGUGUAAUCUCUCAUGCUAUAGAAGAGUUCUUUCCAAAGAACCAAAAUGGGGGUGUGGCCAUAUUUUAAUCUUAGCCUAGGUGCAUUGAUGGUAAAGACAGCAGAAUGCAGUUUCCCAGGGUGUGGUCUGCCUUUAACACUUUGGAAACCUCUCUAGGUCAAGUUCUGAUCACAAUUCUUUGAAGAGAAAAAACAGCAAGUGACCCCCUGCAUGUCUAGAGAAGCAAGAGGUUCCAACCCCACACUAGGUUUCUUCCUCAGAAGAGAACCUCCUAGUCCUUUUUAAUCCUUUCUGGGAUUAUACCCAUGACUAAUUUUUUUGUACUAUGUUUUACAGCAAAGCACAGUCCUGGGAAACCAGUCAACCCAGUUAUUACUUGUCUUUAGAGAAAUGUCCAUAUUGAUUGACCCUACAUCAUGCUUCAGCAUUUUUUUUGUCCUGAAAAUGUAAAGUUGACUGAAUCAAAAACUCAGCCAAGUAUGUUCUGUGUGCCCACAGUCCCAGCCUGAGACCAGCAGACAUCAGAGACUUUUCUUUCAAUACAUGUAACAACCCUGGGAACCUGCCAGCACAAGCAAGCUUGGCAGUUCAGAGGGUCACCAGACACACACUCAUUGUCAGUUCUCCCCACACCUUGCCUCCCCUGGGGGUAUCAGGAAAUGCACAGCCCAUUAGAAAACUACCCCACCUGAGAUUUGGAAACUUGACAGGGAAGGAAAGAGAUCCAAAUGUGAUUCGGGUGAGUCACCCAGCAGCAUGACUCACGACAAGCCUGCGGGCUGUAGUGCCAAAGAAGGGGGCUUGCAAGAGGGAACUCAGAGAAGCUCCAGUCGCCACCAAAUCUGGCCCUCUGAUGGGUCGGCAUAGGCACCAUCAGGCCCCAAGCAGACCGUAAUUCUUUACAAAUCCAGAAUUAGGAAGUCAAACCCUGGCUGCCAACACCCCUGGGCACCUCAGUCUCCACUGCCCAUCUCCUGAGGUUCAAUUCCAAUUCCAGAGGCUCCCUCCAAUCUUUCGUUUCUUCCCUUCUUUAUUCAGCAAGUGUUUAUUGAGCAUCUGCUAUGUGCCAAGCAUUAAGCUGGGGCAACAACAGUGUACAAGGUAGACUCUCCUUGCCCUUAUGAUAUCUCCUCCUCCCAAACACUACCCCACCCCACCUUUUCCACAAUGCAAACUGAAUUCAGACAGCAUUCAUCCCCUGCCAGAGCAACGUGGGGAAAUGGACAUGCACAGUUCCCUUGCCUGAGGAAGUGGACAGCGUCAGGCCAUGUAUUUGCGCCCGUCAUGUACAGCCAACCCUCCCAGCACCCAGAUUUAGCUGGUAGGAGCUCCCCAAAGCAACUUUCAGUUGCUUGAUAGCCACCCUGGUCACCUAUAUUCCCAUCCUUUAUGCAGAAACAGCAAUUCAUCAUCAUGCUGGAUUCUCUGAAGCCCCAAUUCUAUAACUAGUCCCAGGGACACAAAAUCGGGCCUGAUGAAUUCGAAAGAACUACUACCAGGUGCUGAGAUAUUAUCUGGGAAUGAGUUGGUUUAGCCAGGGACAUUCUGAGAACAACUGUUAACACCCUUGGAAAACUGGACAUGCUUUGUGGUGCAGAUAGAUGUUCAUUAAAUGGUGGUGGUUCAUCCUUACUGACUUUGGCUUUUGCAAAAUAUGUUACAAACCAUUAAAUAAGUAGAGUUUCCUAGCCUUUUUUUUUUUUUUUUUUUUGAGUCAAAAGUGUGCUGGGCAAUUAUUUAAAGAUGAUGGGUAAAGAUGGAGAUAGGAAAGGGCAAAGAUGGAGAUAGGAAAGGGCAAAGAUGGAGACAAUGAAAGAGCCCCACUGACGAUGGCUUCUCUAGAAAUGCCUUAAUUCCUGGCACGUACCACAUAUUUGCAUAUGAACUACUGUUUUCCAAACUGUCGACCUCUGUUUGAAAUCAUCUGGAGGCAUAGUUUUGGAAACGUGGUGGCACAAAAUCUGAGCAGUCAUGAGCUAAACCAACAAAAUGGAGAAAGUUUUCUUCACAGCCUUGGGAUUCUUUGUUCUGUGUUGACCCACAGUGACCCAUGGUUAUUUCCUGCUGUGCUGAACCUUCUUGCCAAGAUGUGUGUAGGACAUUUUACUCCCAGAACCUCAGAGAUGGCUGUGGUGAGUUUUGUUUAGUAGGAAGCAGGAGGUGGGGAGGUAAGGGAUAAAUGCUUUGAUGUCUAAGGGCUGUAAACAGUUGAUGCAUUUAUUUUUCCUUUUACUUGAACCUGUGCUGAAUCUUUUUAUUAAAAGGCUGGGCCCCUCACUUGCACGGGAAAGGCAGUCUUGGGAAGGAACAGAAACGAAUAAUUAUUAGACUCUCUGGGUUGCCAAGGGGAUAAGUUUGUUCCAGCUCCAGAAGUGAAUUUAAAUACUCAGAGCAUCGGUGGUUCUGCUAGGGUAAAAAUCAAAUCACUUGAGUAGUUUUAAGACAUACCUAGGGGGACAGAGACCCUAUCAGCUUUCUUGCGGGUAAUGGCAUCUUCAAUUCCCUGCUCAGGCUCUGUGAGGUGUGUAACCGCAGCGUCGAUUCCACCUCCCGAUUACUGGGAAGUAACCCGGGUCCCCUCCAGGGUCACUUCUCAGUUGCCCAAAGGCUAAUAGUCCUUCAUUCUGAGGGAAUUCUGCCUCAUUUUUAAACUUCAAGGGGAAAAGGAAUUAUCAACCUGACGUGAGAAUAUAAACGGAGCAUUAAAACCUCUAAUGGAUGGACCCCCUUGUUACUUGCAAAUGCUUUCUCUGUCUGCAAAUGUCACAUAAUUGAUUUUGGAUAGGAACAGUAAAAGCCUCCUGGAAGAAAAGUUUUCAAGACCCCCUUAGCACUUUCGUUUCCUCAAAACUUCCUCUUCCAGUGCAUCAGCAGCUUCAUUCUUUGUGAUAUUUUCCUCUACGUUCUUUAAUUUUGUUACUUGACAACUAGACCUAAAGCUGCUGUCGUCUCUUUUUAAAAACCUCACCUUUGAAAAUGACAUCAGUUCCUUUCUGCCUUAAAGGCUGUUUUUAUUCAGCUCUCCCACAACCCCUUCCGCUUUACUUACUUUCUUGCGUUGUUUUGUAUUUUUUUUUCUUUUAAUCUCUCUCUUCUUUUCACAUAGUUCCUUGGGUAGGUUUCAAGUAUUCUAUAAAGAACUCAAACAGCGAAACAUAGUGUGAUCACCUUUUUUCCCCAGGACUGACUGAGAAUUCCUUCUUAAGUUUGAUCCUGGGGAAAGCUUGGUGCCCAGACAACGCUGGGACAGGGAUUGUCAUCUCCAGGGGGUGGCCGGUCAGUGCCGCUAAUCAAAACAAGGGGCAUGAGAUCGUGAGGGAGGACAGCCCAGGAGAUGCAGCUGCUCAGGGCACAGCUGGGGACUCGGUUUCAAAGACAAGUGGGUCCUGCCCCUUGGUCUCCUUAGAUGUCCAUCUAAUCCUGUAGCCAGAGAGCUAUCUUAUGAAUUCUGCUUUAUCAGUGUGGAUGAUUCUUGGCUCCACAGCACAGCUUCAAGGUCAGGGAGCUGCAUUUCCAUUAUUUUGCUCUGGUGACGUAACUCUAGUAAGGAGACAGGGAGCCUUCUUUUGAAGGCGAACCACCUGUGGGAAGCUUGAGGAAAACUUAGCCAAGUGCACAAGGAGGUUACACCAGCCCUCAAUAAAAAGAACAAAAUAGAGCCUUCCCUGGAGAUUCUCAUUUGGGAGGAUGGCUAGGAGGAUGGUAUUCUGAUUUUCUUCUGCCUAUCAUCUUGGCCCUGCAGGGGAAAUUCUGGGCAAGUGGGGCAAGCACUACGAUCUAACAUUUUUAGAGUGAAAAUUGGCCCGUGACAAAUAUAGAGGAGAAGUGCUGUUGAGUAUGGGGCUAGUUUUAGACCUCCUGUUCAGCAGCACUGACUGAGAAAUUACUUCCACAGCACAGCAGAAAAGGGGUAUAGAAGGCCUUGUAAAUCUGAAGCUUCCGUUCCACGUAGGGCUGUCUUAAAACCUUGCAGAGCUCCAAGCAUUCUUACUUCCGAGCCUCCUUCCGCAAUUAUAUCAAGCACUCGAAGGCACCAACAACAUACACCUCAUAAAAUUUCGAGGUAACCAUGACUUGCAUUGAAUUGCAGGUGACUGGUUGACAUUGUUACAGAUACUUACACAUUCAUUCUGAUUAUACAAUAUCCUUUUCAUAUUUGGGAGCCAAUGGUUCAGGGGUUUCAUUGUUUCAUUGCUUGUUUUGUUGUUGUUGUUUUCCAAACCUCAAACAUUUACAGAAGCCUUAGAAAGGCUCUUAAACCCAGGCCUUUUUGCCUGAAGUGCAGCGAUAGAAACAGCCCUCUGACAUAAACAAGGAGACUGUUAAAUUAAGCCAACGUAGGAGAUACUAACACCUGAAAUCUUUAAGGCACCGAAGACCCUGCUGGUUGCCUUCUGCAUUGUUUAUAGCCUUCUAAAUUUCAAUCAUUUGGAUCAAAGGAAAUAAACAGGCUGCUUUCACGUGGCCCUGGCACAACAGCACACACACAGCUACUACACGUGGAAUUCUAAGCUGGGUUGACGUGCCAAAGCACACAGACCUGUUUCGUGUGGUCGUAUCUAUUCACCACCACCGACCCCCAUUUUCUCUGAAAAUGUACUCAAAUGCUUUACUCCAAGAAAAUUCUAAAAUGAGACUCUUAUUAUUGAGAUCAUUACUUCUCUCAGGGUGGGGGAACUGAUGACACAAAUGACAUAACCUUGAAGAAAAAUCACUGGCCAUUAAAUGCCUUGAUGUUCCAUUCCACAAGCUGGCAUUGGUCUUCUCCCAUCUCCCCAGAGGUCAGCCUGGCCUCCCUCUCAAAUAGCACAAACGUCAUAAAGACACCUUUUGAAGCUCUGAAUAGACUCCCUAUUCAAGCAUAAUUCCAAAAAUGUGAUUUGAAUUGAGUACCACCUUGGUCCUUGAUGAUAUGAUUCCCUAGAUCAAUUCUAAUUCUUUAUAUGUAUUUUCAGUAUUUUUUUUUUUUAGCACAAUCAACCGCAUUUAUGUGUUUGCAUUGGGAGCUACCCGCUAACUCUGUUGCAGCUUUUGACAAUGCCUAUACCUAGUUCCCAUUUGAUGCGUUUGAGAGGAGACCAAAAAUGUUUCCCUGCAUACCAGCUGCAGAGGUUUUGAAGUACGUAACCAGGUUCACUUUCACAUCAAAAGGCCCCUGUUUCUAGGUGGAAAAUUUAAAGAGAAAUGGGGGGGGGCAGGGGGAGUAUUCAUAUUUGAACACUGGAACCUUUGUCAUUUUCAUUAUAAUUCCACUCUCACCUCACAUCACCCUUCUCUUUCUAGAAGCAGUAGCCUCUUCAGUGAGUGUUGACCCCCACUUGGGGUAGUCAGGAUUCCACUUGCUUAAAUUCACUCAAAGGAAAUUGGAAGCCUCUCUGGGGCUCUGAAUGAUUCCUCCACCACUACAUUUCCUUCACCAGUAGAAAAAUGCUAUCCUUACAAGGCCAUGUUUGAGGAGACCUCUGUUUAGCUGGUGAAAGUUCACAUUACAGAGAGCUGAAUAAUGCCAGGUUCUUGACUUUGCCCUGUAAGUCUCAGUUGUGAUUGGCACGGAAGCAACUAGUCUGCUGAAAAGCCAAGCCAGCACAAAUGUUUUGAAAUGAAUUCCACUAAAACUCCUGUGUCACUACAUCCAACUUGCUGUAGGUCCAGUUAAUCCAACUAUUUAAUAUCAUUAGGCACCAAAUUAAAUAGUUGUACACAAAAUUUUAGAAAAGGUCAAUAUCGUAACACAAUUACAUAUUAGCAGUCAAAAGUACUUGAGAAAAGAAAAUAUUGAUCUCUUGUGGUUUCUGUACUUGAGUUAUUCUUAGGGCUCUGUGGAGACUGGCACUGCUCUGAUAAAGGGGAAGAUGUUUUGAAUUCAAGAAUACUUGAACUCAAGAGAAAUUGCCCAUCUCUCUGGGCCUCUGCUCAUCCGUUUGGGAUGCUACCUGUUCCAUCUUAGCAGACAGGGUUGUUUGGAGGCCAAAACGAGCUAAGCGGAGAAGCUGUCCUGUACCACCAAUAUCUGCGUAUUCAUCAUGGUGAGCAGGGAUGUGGGCUUUUAUCAGUGAGUCCUUCCCCUUAUUUUAUGCCUUUCCCUAUAGCUAUUAUUACUGAGAGUCCAUUCUGGUAUUUUAAAAAGUAAAAUGAUAAAGUAUCAAUCAACCUUUUUUGGGGGGUACAAAAUUACUUUAUUUGAAGGAAUGAUGCUAAGGAAGGAACUUAAGUAGAUGUUUUUGUACAACUUAUAGAAAAGGUGAAGGUAACCCAAACACUUCAUAUGUACACACAAUACCUGGGGGCUGGUCUGAAGAGCCCAUGAUUAGGGUGUCCAUUUAUCUCCACCUUCCAAAGGUUUAGAGCACUGUGACCAAGCUGAGAGAGAGAGGUUUGGGCUGGGCUUAGUGCAGGUGAAGAUUGCCAAUCCCCGGGUUGAAGAAGACCAAUGAAGUUGACAAAUUGAGGGUUGCAGAAAGCAGAGAGCCACACUGAACUUCCUUUAUGAGCUUCUGUACAUUGGUCUUUGUGCUAGAAAGAGGAAGAAAAAUCACACAAUGUGAAUUGAAUAUAAAACCAAUGCUCUUGAUUGCAUACGAGGGGAAAAAAAUCUGACCAAGAAAAAAAAGGGUUCACUGUUUUACAAACACUAACAAACAUGGCUAUAAAAGCACAUUUCAUAACACAAAAGCCUAUGUAGAGGGUAGACAUUUUUAUAGCUUCCUUAAGUGAGUAGUUAAACCAGCAGUCUGAAUUCUCUUAGUCCCCUAACAGUGGUUAAUUAAAUAAGUAUUUUCCUUAUUCAUUGCCCACAACUGUGGUUUUUUUCUCUAUGCACCCUAGAAAAAUUCCCAAGACUAGACUUAAGGAGGACACAAGCUGGUUAUGUAGUAAAAUAAGAGUGCCUUUUCUGUUGGAUGUUCAUUUUAGUUCCCUGUGUUCCCAGGGCAUACAAUGUUUAGAAACUUUUUUCUCUAAACAUAAGAAUUAUUGCACACCACAAUUUUGAACUACCAAUUUCCAUAUCUUAAGCAGCUAUCAACUUGCCAAUUCCCUUUGGGUCUCCUUUACAUUUUCUUUUAAUGUUUCCUUGAGUUUUGGGUUGUGCUCAAAAAGACUUUUGGGGGAGGGGCAUGUUUCUUUUUAAAUUGAUAGAAAUGAAACUGUACAGAUUUUUACCCCCUUGUAUCUGUGAGCAUGAUCUCUAUCAGUCUUGAAAAUCUGCUUUAUCAUUUUGUAUAUUUGACUAUUUUGUAUUCAGCAUUACUUGAUUCCUUACAUGCAUGGCAAUGUAUUAAAAUGUGGGAUUUCUA
This is an RNA transcript of Balaenoptera acutorostrata (minke whale), 8985 nucleotides long. It is a transcript of the gene named sterile alpha motif domain containing 12, with no coding region annotated. The record is from RefSeq and is a predicted model, not a curated record. The transcript is spliced from 6 exons. Lineage: Eukaryota; Metazoa; Chordata; Mammalia; Artiodactyla; Balaenopteridae.